UUUAUUCGAUGCAACGCGAAGAACCUUACCUACUCUUGACAUCCAGAGAACUUAGCAGAGAUGCUUUGGUGCCUUCGGGAACUCUGAGACAGGUGCUGCAUGGCUGUCGUCAGCUCGUGUUGUGAAAUGUUGGGUUAAGUCCCGCAACGAGCGCAACCCUUAUCCUUUGUUGCCAGCGGUUCGGCCGGGAACUCAAAGGAGACUGCCAGUGAUAAACUGGAGGAAGGUGGGGAUGACGUCAAGUCAUCAUGGCCCUUACGAGUAGGGCUACACACGUGCUACAAUGGCAUAUACAAAGAGAAGCGACCUCGCGAGAGCAAGCGGACCUCAUAAAGUAUGUCGUAGUCCGGAUCGGAGUCUGCAACUCGACUCCGUGAAGUCGGAAUCGCUAGUAAUCGUGGAUCAGAAUGCCACGGUGAAUACGUUCCCGGGCCUUGUACACACCGCCCGUCACACCAUGGGAGUGGGUUGCAAAAGAAGUAGGUAGCUUAACCUUCGGGAGGGCGCUUACCACUUUGUGAUUCAUGACUGGGGUGAAGUCGUAACAAGGUAACCGUAGGGGAACCUGCGGCUG
This 574-nucleotide ribosomal RNA is filed under the name Klebsiella sp. CC11. RNAcentral's name for it is "bacterial SSU rRNA". It matches the Rfam family "Bacterial small subunit ribosomal RNA", at positions 946 to 1520 of the family's 1533-position model. The record is from RNAcentral. Lineage: Bacteria; Pseudomonadati; Pseudomonadota; Gammaproteobacteria; Enterobacterales; Enterobacteriaceae.